RNAcentral lists this ribosomal RNA (510 nucleotides) under uncultured Acaulospora. RNAcentral describes it as "SSU rRNA". It matches the Rfam family "Eukaryotic small subunit ribosomal RNA", at positions 569 to 1078 of the family's 1831-position model. The record is from RNAcentral. Lineage: Eukaryota; Fungi; Glomeromycota; Glomeromycetes; Diversisporales; Acaulosporaceae.
AGCAGCCGCGGUAAUUCCAGCUCCAAUAGCGUAUAUUAAAGUUGUUGCAGUUAAAAAGCUCGUAGUUGAAUUUCGGGAUUCGUCGGUUGGUCGGGCUUCACUGUCCGCACUGACCUGACGGGUUCCUACCUUCUGAAUAACCAGCAUGCUAUUAAGUUAGUGCGUUGGGGAAGCAGAGCUAUUACCUUGAAAAAAUUAGAGUGCUUAAAGCAGGCUUGUGCUUGAAUAGAUUAGCAUGGAAUAAUAAAAUAGGACGGCAUGGUUCUAUUUUGUUGGUUUCUAGGACCACCGUAAUGAUUAAUAGGGAUAGUUGGGGGCAUUAGUAUUCAAUUGUCAGAGGUGAAAUUCUUGGAUUUAUUGAAGACUAACUUCUGCGAAAGCAUUUGCCAAGGAUGUUUUCAUUAAUCAAGAACGAAAGUUAGGGGAUCGAAGACGAUCAGAUACCGUCGUAGUCUUAACCAUAAACUAUGCCGACUAGGGAUCGGACGAUGUUAAUUUUUUAAUGACUCG